This 387-nucleotide long non-coding RNA is filed under the name Mytilus galloprovincialis (Mediterranean mussel). Lineage: Eukaryota; Metazoa; Mollusca; Bivalvia; Mytilida; Mytilidae. The record is from RNAcentral.
GUAUGUCAUAUGGGGUCCCUGGUCUUAUGAAAAUAUUACUAGAGAUAAGACCAUGGUGUCUUGUGUAUGUCAUAUAGGGUCCCUGGUCUUAUGAAAAAAUUACUAAAGAUAAGACCAUGGGGUCUUGUGCAUGUCAUAUAGGGUCCCUGGUCUUAUGAAAAUAUUACUAGAGAUAAGACCAUGGUGUCUUGUGUAUGUCAUAUAAGGUCCCUGGUCUUUGAAAAUAUUACUAAAGAUAAGACCUUGGUGUCUUGUGUAUGUCAUAUGGGGUCCCUGGUCUUAUGAAAAUAUUACUAGAGAUAAGACCGCGGUGUCUUGUGUAUGUAAUAUAGGGUCCCUGGUCUUUGAAAAUAUUUCUAGAGAUACGACCUUGGUGUCUUGUGUAUG